Molecule: ribosomal RNA, 253 nt
Filed under: uncultured bacterium
Lineage: Bacteria
Description: partial 16S ribosomal RNA
Rfam family: Bacterial small subunit ribosomal RNA
Source: RNAcentral
UACGUAGGGUGCAAGCGUUGUCCGGAAUUAUUGGGCGUAAAGAGCUCGUAGGCGGUUUGUUGCGUCGGCUGUGAAAACCUGAGGCUCAACCUCAGGCCUGCAGUCGAUACGAGCAGACUAGAGUGUUGCAGGGGAGACUGGAAUUCCUGGUGUAGCGGUGAAAUGCGCAGAUAUCAGGAGGAACACCGGUGGCGAAGGCGAGUCUCUGGGCCGAUACUGACGCUGAGGAGCGAAAGCGUGGGGAGCGAACAGG